Long non-coding RNA from Cyprinus carpio carpio, 572 nucleotides. Lineage: Eukaryota; Metazoa; Chordata; Actinopteri; Cypriniformes; Cyprinidae. The record is from Ensembl.
CUAAUUCAAAACAAGGCCUCAACCUGCAAAAAAGUCAGUCUGGUUUGACUCUAGGGGGAGCCACAGCUAUAUAAAAAGAUACGUGAAGACGUGGGAACACGUGUUCAGAAGACAGGCUGCUUCUGUCUGCAUACCGGGCUUUGGAGUCUAGCAGCAGCAAAAAGUUCACAUGUAACACAAAACCAUGGGUUCAUCAGGAUUUCCCACAACUCAGUGAUGACUUAAGGAAAUCUCAUCCUCAACCUCACACAGAGAACUAUUGUCAGUCUCUCAGCAGGUCUGUGAGCCUGGCUCCCUGUUGGUUCUGUGUAGGGUUUCAGCAAAGGCAGCAAUGUGUACCCACUGUAUCUCUCUGUCAUUCAACUCUACUCAGAAAAGAGCACAUUCUUGUCUUCUCCUUGCUUUUCCCUAUCCAAUCUCACCUUCCUAGUUCCUUCAGGCUAUGCUGGUCCAUUGCUUUCGAAGACCCUUGUGAGAACUAUUAUUCAGGAAUUUAGGGGUUUGUGAACAGUAAAGGAGAUGUCAAGAUAAAAAAAGUGCUGCUGCGAACAGAUAUCUAUCAUAGCGAUACU